Long non-coding RNA from Panicum virgatum (switchgrass), 776 nucleotides. RefSeq lists it as uncharacterized. The record is from RefSeq and is a predicted model, not a curated record. The transcript is spliced from 3 exons. NCBI's taxonomy places the organism in Eukaryota, Viridiplantae, Streptophyta, Magnoliopsida, Poales, Poaceae.
GGAGAGGUCUGACCGGUCUGCCCAAAUUAUCUAGAAAACCUUCAUCGUGCCAAUUUUGAGUGUCAACAAUGGGCGGUGGUGGUCUUUGUUAAGAGUGCCGCGGCCGCGAGUUUGCUUCUGGAUGUGGAGCCGCCCGCCUGUGUCGCGGCCGCGAGUUUGCUGGCGGCGGCAGCACCACGGUGGCUGCCCCUUUGGCUUUGCCAUCCACCGGAGCUAUCUUCGACUCUGCUUCCUCCCGUUCUCUGAACUGAACCCAGUGAAUUUUGCUCUCUGCAGGUGAAUGGAGCUGCUGCUGCCUGGGAUAUUGGCUCCCAAAAUUUGUUCAGUGGAUUUCAUGCACAAUUUAAGUCAGUAGAACUUGGAGAGAGAAAGAAAAGGAUGCUACUGCUAAUUUAGCUUGUUCAGAGAAACCAGAAUUGCAGCUUUUAAGUUUUGUUUCUACAAGCAUGAGCAAGUUGUAUGUACAGAUGGAGAAGAGCUAGUCAGGAAAUAGUAAACAAAUUUAAAAGUGCUGAAAUUAUACGGUACAAUUGUAAGCGCGCGUUUUCCUCCUUCUGAACCUUCUGAACUACCACACUAGACAUCUCCACCAAAGUUUAGCCUGUUGAACCGAACAUUUGUAAUAUUUGUGCUAUGUAGUAGUACUUGCUGUUUUAGAUGCCGUCAUAUCAGUGGACUGGCAAAUCAGUUAUCCUAUUUCGAUGUUUCCUUACUUUAGUUGAACAGCCGUGUGCUUAAAUUUCUAAUGCAAAUUAUCUGGGUGUUAAAUGUCCCUA